Molecule: ribosomal RNA, 584 nt
Filed under: Pluteus petasatus
Lineage: Eukaryota; Fungi; Basidiomycota; Agaricomycetes; Agaricales; Pluteaceae
Description: partial 12S ribosomal RNA
Rfam family: Bacterial small subunit ribosomal RNA
Source: RNAcentral
UGAAUAGCUAACUGAAAUCACAUGAGUCAUGCUUUAUGGUGGUGAUUGUGAUAACGUAAGGGAAAAAAAUGAUAUUACCUUACUAUUAGUGUUGUCCAAAACUGGUGCCAGAAGACUCGGUAAGGCCAGAGACGCAAACGUUAGUCGUCCUAAUCAGGCGUAAAGGGUUUGUAGGCUGCUUUAAAACUUUUAUCUUUAAAAAGCUCAGUAUUAUAAUAUAACCUAUUACUUCUAAAGUAAAAAGGCACAAAAUAAUAAUUGUAAAGAAAAAUAAAUUAAAGCUAGAAUUAAAUAGGGGAUAAACCAAAUAAUACUUAGAGUAGGGAUGAAAUCCGCAGAUACUAAGGGGAAUACUAAGGGUGAAAGCUUUUUAUCUACUAAUAAUUGACGCUGAGAAACGAAGGUGAGAAUAGGAAAUAGGAUUAGAUACCCAGAUACCUCUCACUGUCAACGAUGAAUGGUGGUUGUUAGUUUUAAUAAAAAUUAGUAACGAUGUUAACACGAUAACCAUUUCCGCCUUGCGAGUAACGGUUGCAAAACUGAAACCAAAAAAAUUAGUCGGUCUCGAAGCAAACGAAGUGAAG